This 21-nucleotide non-coding RNA is filed under the name Caenorhabditis elegans. Lineage: Eukaryota; Metazoa; Nematoda; Chromadorea; Rhabditida; Rhabditidae. The record is from RNAcentral.
UGAAUCCAAUUUAGAUGUAGC